AAAGACGACACUGUUUAAUCUGUCCUCUGAGGUCCAAAACUGAGGGACAAAUAAAGUAAAGUUACCAGACAAAUCAGCUUCACUCCUUCUAGUGAGGAGGAGUCAAUGCAAAACUCAGAUGUCUUCCACCUCUACUUAUCUGACUGCAGAGAGGAGGACAGAGGACAGUGGACACACAGUUUAACAUGAUGGACUAUAGGACAGGACUGCUGCUUUUAACCAUCUGCUGCUGGACAGGUGUUGAUGGUCAGACUCUGACAGAAUCUGAACCAGUGAUUAAAAGACCUGGAGAAUCCCACAGACUGACCUGUACAGCUUCUGGAUUCACAUUCAGUAGCUACUAUAUGCACUGGAUCAGACAGGCUCCUGGAAAAGGACUGGAGUGGAUCGCUGCUAUUAUGACAGUAGCAACAUCGGCUACUCUCAGUCAGUUCAGGGCCGGUUCACCGUCUCCAGAGACAACAACAGACAGCAAGCUGUAUCUGCAGAUGAACAGUCUGAGGACUGAAGACUCUGCUGUUUAUUAUUGCGCUCGAGAGCCACAGUGACUGGAGUUGGUUGAGCAGCUGUACAAAAUCCUACAGGACUCAUUCUGACUGGACUGGUUGAGGAAAAGCAUGAAGUAUUUUUUGCAUAUUUUAUAUAUAUAUAUUUUUAUAAUGUUUUACAUGAUACAGUUUGCUUUAUAUAUAUUUAUAAAUAAUAAAUUAAUCUUUGUCCUAACAC
This is a non-coding RNA of Sebastes umbrosus (honeycomb rockfish), 726 nucleotides long. Lineage: Eukaryota; Metazoa; Chordata; Actinopteri; Perciformes; Sebastidae. The record is from the annotation of a RefSeq genome assembly.